Daphnia carinata is the source of this 1287-nucleotide long non-coding RNA. RefSeq lists it as uncharacterized. The record is from RefSeq and is a predicted model, not a curated record. NCBI's taxonomy places the organism in Eukaryota, Metazoa, Arthropoda, Branchiopoda, Diplostraca, Daphniidae. The transcript has 7 exons.
GAGGCGGCAACGAGCAUGUGGUGAUCGUGUGACUCGUCCCAAUUUCUCUACGUUAAUGUACGAGUGAAACUCGAACGUUUAUCAGUGUUUCAAAAGCUACCGAAUGUGACGGUUUGCCAAGUCACGAGAAGACAUUCUUCAUUCGUCUAUUGCUUUCUGGGUACUGGGCCAAGUUCCCUUGCACACUUGCCGUGAUUAAUUAGAACAUUUGGUGUGGCAAAAGUGGAGAUUGGUACGAUGACGGAGGUUGUUGCUGAUUAUAAAUCUGCUCGGACGGCGUAGGUGGCUUGUAGAUUGGUGGCAUUUGGAGGUGGAAAAUAUCAUUUUUCUAACUAAUGGAGGUUAAAUCACAUGCGAAAAUACGCGCGCAGAACAUCGUUGACAGCUUGUCGAAAAUAAAAUAGAGAGAUGUGGGGAGGGUUAUCAGUCCUUGAAACAGUUUGGAAAAAAAGCCAUAGAUACUUGAAAUGUUACAGGCUAAUUCACUGUUCACAGAAGGAAGAAACAAAUGAGACGAAAAAACAACUACCAUGAAUUACUAUAUUCUCGAUAACUCACAUCGAACCUAACAAUAUUCGGUCGCACACCAUAAUAUAGCAAUGAAAAUGAAUAAAAAGAAGAAGAAGAGAUGUUGAGCGGCAUCAUUCGAUCUUCUACCGGCUUCAAGCCAAUAGCAAUUCGAAAACCAAUUGGAAACCUGUCCCACUCUGUUCGGGGUUCUGUGGCAAGAUGAAAUUGCAUUGCGUCUCAGUCGUGGUUCUAUUGCUUUCACUAUGCCUUUGGAGUUGCCAAGGAGAGGAAGAACGCAAGAGCCAUGGCGAACGGCAUAAGCGAUUCUUGUACUACAGCAAGAAAGGCGGGUUCGGCCUCGGUUUGGGUCUUGGACCGAAAGGCGCUGGAGUCCCGGCAAUGACCAUGGUCGGUCUCGUGGAGCAACCAGUUCCUGUCCAUGUCGGCGUGCCAGAAUACCCGCCCUACCCUCCUCCAGCUUAUUCACCACCUCCAGAGUAUUCACCCCCACCUUAUGCUCCCCCACCAAGCUACGCUCCUCCACCUUACGCUCCUCCGGCUUAUGCCCCACCAUCAUACGCUCCGCCGCCGCCUGCGUAUUCUCCUCCCGCACCUGCCUACGCACCACCGCCUCCAUAUUAGGUGCAUUUGCAGCUCGCUUUGAUUCCCUUGAAUUUAAUACUACCACACAGCUGGAACUGAUGUGGUGGAAGAAAGAUUCAUUUUCGACCAAUUAAUUGCAUUUUCAUUUCCAAUGCUGUAAGCCUUGUACGUCAA